Molecule: long non-coding RNA, 324 nt
Filed under: Anser brachyrhynchus (Pink-footed goose)
Lineage: Eukaryota; Metazoa; Chordata; Aves; Anseriformes; Anatidae
Description: lncRNA (ENSABRG00000010448.1)
Source: RNAcentral
CAGAAAACCAAGCAGAGAGAUCUUCAGCUGAUAAUGCCCUCUUUGCUGGGUAUGCAUACAGCAUUAUACUUGAUAGAUGAAAGUCUUCUUGUGAAGAAGACUCCACCGUGCCGCUGAGGAGGUCUAGCUGAGGCCUAACAGGCAAGUUAAACAUUUAAAAACUACACAAAGUGAUAUAUGGUGUAUACUGGAGCAAAGCAGCUAAGCUGGAUACAGCGGGACAAAGGACUAAAGAAAAAGAAAUGUGACCUUUCUGGUUGUGCAAAUGAGGACUUAGAAUUAGUUGUUCAGCUGAAGUGGUUGGAUGUAGGCUGUCUCUUUUGA